This 847-nucleotide ribosomal RNA is filed under the name Rhodococcus coprophilus. RNAcentral's name for it is "bacterial SSU rRNA". It matches the Rfam family "Bacterial small subunit ribosomal RNA", at positions 1 to 866 of the family's 1533-position model. Lineage: Bacteria; Bacillati; Actinomycetota; Actinomycetes; Mycobacteriales; Nocardiaceae. The record is from RNAcentral.
UAGAGUUUGAAUCUGGCUCAGGACGAACGCUGGCGGCGUGCUUAACACAUGCAAGUCGAACGAUGAUGCCCAGCUUGCUGGGCGGAUUAGUGGCGAACGGGUGAGUAACACGUGGGUGAUCUGCCCUGCACUUCGGGAUAAGCCUGGGAAACUGGGUCUAAUACCGGAUAUGACCACGGGAUGCAUGUCCUGUGGUGGAAAGGUUUACUGGUGCAGGAUGAGCCCGCGGCCUAUCAGCUUGUUGGUGGGGUAAUGGCCUACCAAGGCGACGACGGGUAGCCGGCCUGAGAGGGCGACCGGCCACACUGGGACUGAGACACGGCCCAGACUCCUACGGGAGGCAGCAGUGGGGAAUAUUGCACAAUGGGCGAAAGCCUGAUGCAGCGACGCCGCGUGAGGGAUGACGGCCUUCGGGUUGUAAACCUCUUUCAGCAGGGACGAAGCGCAAGUGACUGUACCUGCAGAAGAAGCACCGGCUAACUACGUGCCAGCAGCCGCGGUAAUACGUAGGGUGCGAGCGUUGUCCGGAAUUACUGGGCGUAAAGAGUUCGUAGGCGGUUUGUCGCGUCGUGUGUGAAAUCCCGCAGCUCAACUGCGGGCUUGCAGGCGAUACGGGCAGACUUGAGUACUGCAGGGGAGACUGGAAUUCCUGGUGUAGCGGUGAAAUGCGCAGAUAUCAGGAGGAACACCGGUGGCGAAGGCGGGUCUCUGGGCAGUAACUGACGCUGAGGAACGAAAGCGUGGGUAGCGAACAGGAUUAGAUACCCUGGUAGUCCACGCCGUAAACGGUGGGCGCUAGGUGUGGGUUUCCUUCCACGGGAUCCGUGCCGUAGCUAACGCAUAAGCG